GACGAAAAAAAAUUGCAUAUUUAAAUGAAUUUAAAAAAAAUGUACCAUGGAGAAAUGUGUAGAUACUCCACCGAAAAUGGGCGGAAGAACAUUAUUGUUCUACAUUCCCAUGUUAGUUGAUUGUCCAUCGGAUGCAUUGAGGAGAAAUCGGGUUGCUAACAAGAUUUAUACAACUUUCGAGGAACAUCGAAAUAUUCGAAAUACAUCGGAUUUCUCAUUAGAUCGAUCGUCGUCAAGUCUAAUGAAAAGCACAUCGAUCAACGCUGAAACCAAAAU
Non-coding RNA from Cinara cedri, 276 nucleotides. NCBI's taxonomy places the organism in Eukaryota, Metazoa, Arthropoda, Insecta, Hemiptera, Aphididae. The record is from the annotation of a GenBank genome assembly.